AUGGCCUGUCAGCCUUUUGCCUAAGAUCAAUUGGAGUAUCUCUUCUUAUCAGUUUAAUAUCUGUUAUGUCCUCUAUCCAAGGACAAUAUAUUAAAUGGAUUUUUGGAGCAGGGAGAUAGAAUAGGCUCUUGCUCCAUUAACUUCACACAUCGACCUGGUAUUGCAAAUACCUCCAGAAAUAGUGUACCCCUA
Gorilla gorilla gorilla (western lowland gorilla) is the source of this 192-nucleotide small nuclear RNA. Its record names the gene U2. It matches the Rfam family "U2 spliceosomal RNA". Rfam says of the family: U2 is a small nuclear RNA (snRNA) component of the spliceosome (involved in pre-mRNA splicing). Complementary binding between U2 snRNA (in an area lying towards the 5' end but 3' to hairpin I) and the branchpoint sequence (BPS) of the intron results the bulging out of an unpaired adenosine, on the BPS, which initiates a nucleophilic attack at the intronic 5' splice site, thus starting the first of two transesterification reactions that mediate splicing. The record is from Ensembl. NCBI's taxonomy places the organism in Eukaryota, Metazoa, Chordata, Mammalia, Primates, Hominidae.